RNAcentral lists this long non-coding RNA (1285 nucleotides) under Homo sapiens (human). RNAcentral's name for it is "HSALNT0343124". The record is from RNAcentral. Lineage: Eukaryota; Metazoa; Chordata; Mammalia; Primates; Hominidae.
ACCACCCUGCAUUCACCAGAGGAACUAGAUUACCAAAACCAAGACACUAAGGAGAAAUUUAUUCAUUAAAGAGAUACUCUUAGAAGAAAUAAAAAUUAAGUCAAUGGGAAGUGUCUUCAAUAUAUAUCCCAUUGACUAGGGCAAAAGCAGAAAAUGAGUAAAAGUGCAUUCAAGGUCUAGGAAAUGGUAUAUAUGAAAGCAUGGAAGUAUAAUUGUUCUUAAAUCUGUAGUAGGUCAUUUAUGAUGGGUGAAACAGAACACAAAAGGGAGUGUUAGAACACAAGGCUGGAAAUACAAACAUAUGAUAGAACAGGUGUUUGGGUUUCAUUUGGUUGCCAGUGGGAACCGUUAUAAAGCAUAACUAUGACAGUGCGGCAAUCUGUGUUCUAAAAGAAUGACUCUGGCAGUAGUGUGGAGGGUGGACUGGAAGGAGUAUUUGCUGAAGACCUGCCAGAGGGCAAAUUACCAAAUCAACAGUCUCCUUGGAUGAUAAAUCUCGAGCUCUUCAGCAGAACAGCAAACCAGCUGCUAUUCUCUGAGCUGCCUCAUGGAAGGGCCCAACUGGCAAGCAACUGAGACAAGCAAUCGUCAGAGAAGAAUGGAUGUACCCCAUCCAAAGUCCUGCAAUGAACUUGAAUGAUCCUGCAAUCUCAGAAUUGAAAGAAUCCUAUCAAAAACAAAGAACUUAUGAGCACAUACUGUACAGUAGAACUUGAGAUGACUGCAGCUCUUGUCUGCACCUUGAAGAUUUGCAAGAGUCCCUGAACUGGAAGACCGCACUAAGCUAUGCUCAGUUUCCUAACCCACUGUAACUGUAAGAUAAUAAAUGUUAUUCUUUUAAGCUUCUAAGUUUUAGGGCAUUUAUUACACAGCAAUAGAUAAAUUAUACACAGGCCAUAAAAUGUCCCUUGUGGAUAUUAAUAUCUUCCAUCUCUGAAUGAUACCACUCGUUUUGUAAGUUAAUCAUUAAUUGUCUUGCAUUGUUUACUUAGUGUUAAUUGGUCAUGUUCAAAUGAUGUUCUACAGGGCCCUAAGGAAUAUAUGUGUAUGAAUAUGUUUGCUUUUUGUAUGCAGUGUGAGUGUGUGAUUGGGGUGAAAGUUUAAAUAAAGAAGUUAGGUAGACAGGGCUCUGAGUGCAUUUUUUCUACCUUAGCAAGAACAGUUUCUCUUUUAUCUGCUAAAUGUAUUAGGUUGGUGCAACAGUAAUUGUGAUUUUUGCAUUGUUGAAAUUUGCAGAUUGAUAUUGGAAUAUGUUCUUAAAUAAAUGUGGUUAUGCUAUACAUCA